This 476-nucleotide long non-coding RNA is filed under the name Musa acuminata (dwarf banana). Its description in RNAcentral is "long non-coding RNA (MACU_LNC009515)". The record is from RNAcentral. Lineage: Eukaryota; Viridiplantae; Streptophyta; Magnoliopsida; Zingiberales; Musaceae.
AAAUACCCUUAGGAAUUGAGAAAUUCCCUAUAUAUCCCUGAUUUCAGAAAAUAUUAAUUAAUUAAAAAGUUUAGUUGAUUAUUAUUUUUAUUUUUAUCUAGUAGUCCUACAUGAUGAUGAUUAUUUAUACAUGUGAUGUAUGAUGUGUGGACGGAUGAUCAUGGACCGUGUGAUGUGUGUACUUAUGAUUAUUAUUAUUGAGGUCUGCGAACCUCCAUUAUAUUUCUCGUUUAUUGUCGGGCCUGCGUGCCUAUGAUUAAGUUGUAAUCACAUGAGGAGGCGCAGCGGGAGCGUGGAUGCGAUAGCGGGACCCACGAGACGGAUGAUCGUGAUGCAUGGAGAUGCAUCAAGAUGUCGACGAAAUCGACGAGGACGAGAUGGACGAUCACAGGGCAUGGAGAUGCACCGUUGCACACAUAGAUCUUGAUGUGAGUGAUUAUGCCUACUGGCUCGGGCCUAAUCAUAUUAGGUUGUGG